This 31-nucleotide non-coding RNA is filed under the name Homo sapiens (human). The record is from RNAcentral. Lineage: Eukaryota; Metazoa; Chordata; Mammalia; Primates; Hominidae.
AAAGGCUUCAGGGUGACACUGAGAACUGGGU